Molecule: non-coding RNA, 163 nt
Filed under: Salmo salar (Atlantic salmon)
Lineage: Eukaryota; Metazoa; Chordata; Actinopteri; Salmoniformes; Salmonidae
Description: Eukaryotic small subunit ribosomal RNA
Rfam family: Eukaryotic small subunit ribosomal RNA
Source: Rfam by way of RNAcentral
CACUGCCUGUCGCUACUACCGAUAGGAUGGUUUAGUGAGGUCCUCGGUUCGGCCCUGCCAGGGUCAGUCACGGUCCUGGUGGAGCACUGACAAGAUGAUCAAACUUGACUAUCAAGAGGAAGUAAAACUUGUAACAAGGUUUCCGUAGGUGAACCUGCAGAAG